Molecule: long non-coding RNA, 292 nt
Filed under: Nicotiana benthamiana
Lineage: Eukaryota; Viridiplantae; Streptophyta; Magnoliopsida; Solanales; Solanaceae
Description: long non-coding RNA (NBEN_LNC031501)
Source: RNAcentral
UGAAUAUGAUUUUUCAACAUGCUUAAAGAAGAGGAAAAGCAUAACAGCCUUGGUGUACCUGGUAAAGCUGCUGUAAUGUGGCUAGAAGGUUACGAGAUUGUACCGUGGAAAUAACUUCUUGUAGAAAUACAGGGUAACAUUGCAUAAAAUAGACCGUUGUGGUCCGAUCCUUCGCAGAAUCUCACGCAUAGCUAAAGCUUAGUGCAUCAGGCUGCCCUUCUUUUUUUAAGAAGAGAAAAAGGAAAAGGAAAAGUAAAGCCAUUUGCGUACUACUAAUUAGGGCAUCUCCAAC